UACGAAGGGGGCGAGCGUUGUUCGGAUUUACUGGGCGUAAAGGGCGCGCAGGCGGUUCUGUUUGUCGAGUGUGAAAGCCCCGGGCUCAACCUGGGAACUGCGCUCGAAACGGCGGAACUAGAGUUCGGGAGAGGAGAGUGGAAUUCCCAGUGUAGAGGUGAAAUUCGUAGAUAUUGGGAAGAACACCGGUGGCGAAGGCGGCUCUCUGGACCGAUACUGACGCUGAGGAGCGAAAGCGUGGGGAGCGAACAGG
RNAcentral lists this ribosomal RNA (253 nucleotides) under uncultured bacterium. Its description in RNAcentral is "partial 16S ribosomal RNA". It matches the Rfam family "Bacterial small subunit ribosomal RNA", at positions 524 to 776 of the family's 1533-position model. The record is from RNAcentral.